This 646-nucleotide ribosomal RNA is filed under the name bacterium HN1-B-03. RNAcentral's name for it is "bacterial SSU rRNA". It matches the Rfam family "Bacterial small subunit ribosomal RNA", at positions 338 to 974 of the family's 1533-position model. The record is from RNAcentral.
CCUACGGGAGGCAGCAGUAGGGAAUCUUCCACAAUGGGCGAAAGCCUGAUGGAGCAACGCCGCGUGAGUGAAGAAGGAUUUCGGUUCGUAAAACUCUGUUGUAAGGGAAGAACAAGUACAGUAGUAACUGGCUGUACCUUGACGGUACCUUAUUAGAAAGCCACGGCUAACUACGUGCCAGCAGCCGCGGUAAUACGUAGGUGGCAAGCGUUGUCCGGAAUUAUUGGGCGUAAAGCGCGCGCAGGUGGUUUCUUAAGUCUGAUGUGAAAGCCCACGGCUCAACCGUGGAGGGUCAUUGGAAACUGGGAGACUUGAGUGCAGAAGAGGAUAGUGGAAUUCCAAGUGUAGCGGUGAAAUGCGUAGAGAUUUGGAGGAACACCAGUGGCGAAGGCGACUAUCUGGUCUGUAACUGACACUGAGGCGCGAAAGCGUGGGGGAGCAAACAGGAUUAGAUACCCUGGUAGUCCACGCCGUAAACGAUGAGUGCUAAGUGUUAGGGGGUUUCCGCCCCUUAGUGCUGCAGCUAACGCAUUAAGCACUCCGCCUGGGGAGUACGGUCGCAAGACUGAAACUCAAAGGAAUUGACGGGGGCCCGCACAAGCGGUGGAGCAUGUGGUUUAAUUCGAAGCAACGCGAAGAACCUUAC